CCUACGGGAGGCAGCAGUGGGGAAUAUUGGACAAUGGGGGCAACCCUGAUCCAGCCAUGCCGCGUGUGUGAAGAAGGCCCUCGGGUUGUAAAGCACUUUCAGUGAGGAAGAACGCCUGGUGGUUAAUACCCAUCAGGAAAGACAUCACUCACAGAAGAAGCACCGGCUAACUCCGUGCCAGCAGCCGCGGUAAUACGGAGGGUGCGAGCGUUAAUCGGAAUUACUGGGCGUAAAGCGCGCGUAGGUGGCUUGAUAAGCCGGUUGUGAAAGCCCCGGGCUCAACCUGGGAACGGCAUCCGGAACUGUCAAGCUAGAGUGCAGGAGAGGAAGGUAGAAUUCCCGGUGUAGCGGUGAAAUGCGUAGAGAGCGGGAGGAAUACCAGUGGCGAAGGCGGCCUUCUGGACUGACACUGACACUGAGGUGCGAAAGCGUGGGUAGCAAACAGGAUUAGAUACCCGUGUAGUC
RNAcentral lists this ribosomal RNA (465 nucleotides) under Vreelandella stevensii. Its description in RNAcentral is "partial 16S ribosomal RNA". It matches the Rfam family "Bacterial small subunit ribosomal RNA", at positions 338 to 795 of the family's 1533-position model. The record is from RNAcentral. Lineage: Bacteria; Pseudomonadati; Pseudomonadota; Gammaproteobacteria; Oceanospirillales; Halomonadaceae.